GACAGAGGGUGCAAACGUUGUUCGGAAUUACUGGGCGUAAAGCGCGUGUAGGCGGUUUGGUAAGUCGGAUGUGAAAGCCCUGGGCUCAACCCAGGAAGUGCAUUCGAUACUGUCAAGCUAGAGUAUCGGAGAGGUUGGUGGAAUUCUCGGUGUAGAGGUGAAAUUCGUAGAUAUCGAGAGGAACACCGGUGGCGAAGGCGGCCAACUGGACGAAUACUGACGCUGAGACUCGAAAGCGUGGGGAGCAAACAGG
This 253-nucleotide ribosomal RNA is filed under the name uncultured bacterium. Its description in RNAcentral is "partial 16S ribosomal RNA". It matches the Rfam family "Bacterial small subunit ribosomal RNA", at positions 524 to 776 of the family's 1533-position model. The record is from RNAcentral.